RNAcentral lists this transfer RNA (67 nucleotides) under Moniezia benedeni. RNAcentral describes it as "tRNA-Gly". The record is from RNAcentral. Lineage: Eukaryota; Metazoa; Platyhelminthes; Cestoda; Cyclophyllidea; Anoplocephalidae.
AUGUUGCUAGUAUAAGUUAAUAUUACAUUUUUCCAAAGUGUAGAUCUGUAGUUAGUCAGGUGACGUA